GUGAGGAAGGGGGUGACUAGUGACAGAGUGAGAAAGGGGGUGACUAGUGACAGAGGGAGGGGUGACUAGGGACAGAGUGAGGGAGGUGGUGACUAGUGACAGUCACCACCUCCCUCACUCUGUCACUGUGUCACCCCCUCCAUCUGUCACUGGUCAUCCACUCCCUCCCUCCCUCCCUCUGUCACUGGUCACCCACUCCCUCCCUCACUUUGUCACCAGUCAUCCACUCACUCUGUCACUAGUAACCCCUUCCUUCCCUCAC
This 262-nucleotide small RNA is filed under the name Pelobates cultripes (western spadefoot toad). Lineage: Eukaryota; Metazoa; Chordata; Amphibia; Anura; Pelobatidae. The record is from RNAcentral.